CUGAGGCACGAAAGCGUGGGGAGCAAACAGGAUUAGAUACCCUGGUAGUCCACGCCGUAAACGAUGAGUGCUAGGUGUUGGGGGUUACCGCCCUCAGUGCCGAAGGAAACCCAAUAAGCACUCCGCCUGGGGAGUACGGUCGCAAGACUGAAACUCAAAGGAAUUGACGGGGGCCCGCACAAGCAGUGGAGCAUGUGGUUUAAUUCGAAGCAACGCGAAGAACCUUACCAGGGCUUGACAUCCCUCUGACGGAUGCAGAGAUGUAUCUUCCCUUCGGGGCAGAGGUGACAGGUGGUGCAUGGUUGUCGUCAGCUCGUGUCGUGAGAUGUUGGGUUAAGUCCCGCAACGAGCGCAACCCUUGAUCUGUGUUACCAGCACGUCAUGGUGGGGACUCACAGGUGACUGCCGGCGUAAGUCGGAGGAAGGUGGGGAUGACGUCAAAUCAUCAUGCCCUUUAUGUCCUGGGCGACACACGUGCUACAAUGGGCGGAACAACGGGACGCGAGACCGCGAGGUGGAGCAAAACCCUGAAAACCGUUCGUAGUUCG
Molecule: ribosomal RNA, 548 nt
Filed under: uncultured bacterium
Lineage: Bacteria
Description: bacterial SSU rRNA
Rfam family: Bacterial small subunit ribosomal RNA
Source: RNAcentral